AGUGAACGCUGGCGGUAGGCCUAACACAUGCAAGUCGAACGGCAGCACAGUAAGAGCUUGCUCUUACGGGUGGCGAGUGGCGGGCGGGUGAGGAAUACAUCGGAAUCUACUUUUUCGUGGGGGAUAACGUAGGGAAACUUACGCUAAUACCGCAUACGACCUACGGGUGAAAGCAGGGGAUCUUCGGACCUUGCGCGAUUGAAUGAGCCGAUGUCGGAUUAGCUAGUUGGCGGGGUAAAGGCCCACCAAGGCGACGAUCCGUAGCUGGUCUGAGAGGAUGAUCAGCCACACUGGAACUGAGACACGGUCCAGACUCCUACGGGAGGCAGCAGUGGGGAAUAUUGGACAAUGGGCGCAAGCAUGAUCCAGCCAUACCGCGUGGGUGAAGAAGGCCUUCGGGUUGUAAAGCCCUUUUGUUGGGAAAGAAAAGCAGCAGGUUAAUACCCCGCUGUUCUGACGGUACCCAAAGAAUAAGCACCGGCUAACUUCGUG
Molecule: ribosomal RNA, 492 nt
Filed under: uncultured bacterium
Lineage: Bacteria
Description: partial 16S ribosomal RNA
Rfam family: Bacterial small subunit ribosomal RNA
Source: RNAcentral